CCCGCGCGGGUGCGGCGAGGGGAGGGUCCGGGGUUCUGAGCGCCCCCUUGCAAAGGGGUGUCGCACACCGGCUCGAAGGUGGCGGCGAAGCAGUGUGGAUGGCUUCUUCUUUUCCUCAGAAAGUUUUCUCAGCCUCGCGGACCGAGGUGUGGAGCCUUGGCGCUUUCCACAAGUGCUUUUGUCAGGAAACGAAUUAGAACUGAGGCCUUUUCGAGCCACAGGGACCCGACGAACGACUACAUUUUUCUCCCUUCAGGGAGAAGUUUCCCUCUUCAAAGCCAGUUUCCUUCUGUGGAAAGCCUCUGAGAUCCUCCCCGAGGAACCUUCUCGACCUCUCUUCUGUCGGAAUCACAUGUUCCCUGCUCCCAAAAUGGCGCCAUAGGACAAAGGAGUUGGGGGAAUUCAUCUCCCGCUCCCAGCCCCACAAACACGUGGAGACAGUGCUUGCUGUACAGUUGAGGCUUCUGAACCCCACUUCCUGCUGGACUUGGCUCCCCUGAACCCACAGAAAUCCCGGAGCAGCCCUCCUUUCGUUUGAGGCCACUGCAGGUCACCAACAGAAUGCCUCUUGUGGCUUUCAAGCUUGACCCCAGUGCUUGCUCAGAAGGUGAUGUUCACAAAAGUGAAGUCACAUUCCUCAUUUCGGAGUCACGCUCUGUUCGGUAGGGUUAGUUAACCCAGCUGCCCAAGGAGCACGAAUGCACUGGAAGUAAAUUGGUUUUAUUUUGUCCCAUGGCCACAAAGUCUUUGGACCUAGGGAGGUGGAGAACAGAUCGAGAGAGCAGAAAGACCAUUUUAAAUUAAUUAUCUCCCUCCCAGUGACAGUAUCUUGGCCCAGGAAGGACAGCACAAAUGGCAGCAGGGAUUCCUCAUGUGUCUGCAGGUUACAUGAACUAAUCCAGAAGUAUGUAGAGUUGGUAUCUGGAGUCAAAAGACCAACUAUUUGAUUUAGAUCCCACUUCUUCACAAAAGACAGUUCCUUCUUUGAAGGAGUUUAUAAUUAGGGUAGAUGAGAAUAACACACAGAUCUAUAUACCUUGAUGAAGGUGUUGCUACAAGUUGGUGCCGGGACUGGCCUCCUGAUACAUGGUCCAGAGCAUUUCCAUUACCUCAUGCCCUGGUUAUAAGAGCCACUGGAGUUACAAGGAGGUUAUGGCUAGUGGGAGAGUUGUCUGUCACCCCAGUCCUCCAUUCCCAGAAUCAUUUGCAGGUGUACCAUUUUACAUUCCCGCCAGAGGUGCACAAGAGUUCCAGUUUCUCCACAUCCUUGCCAGCGCUUGUCAUCUUCUGUGUUUUGGAUUGUAGCCUUCCUAAUGUGUAUGAGGUGGUAUCUCAUUGUAAUUUUGAUUAGCAUUUCCGUAAGGAUGAGUAAUAGUGAGCAUCUUUCCAUGUGCUUAUUGGCCAUUUGUGUAUCUCUUUGGAGGAAUGUCUAGUCAAGUCCUUUGUCCAUUUUUGAGUUAUUAUGGGUUAUUAUCUCAUGGGGUUUUGUGAUCACUUAAGUACUAUAUUUCAAAGUAUCCACCUAAGUUGCCCAAGGUCACGUGACUAGUGGGUGGCAGAGGCCCAGGUUUCUGGACUCUACUCCAUCAUGCUACCUCAAGUCAGCCUCCCAUUGCCUUAGCCCCAUACCUCGUAGCUUCAAAUUCCUCUUCUUUCUCAUGGAUUCUCCGGUCGAUGUCAGCUUUCACCUGAGCCAGUUCCAGCUGAAUUCGAAUCACCUUGCUCUCUUCAACCUGCCGGGAGUAUAAACAUCAGACUUUCUGGCUAAGUAGGUGUGCGGUCACUGGCCA
Lutra lutra (Eurasian river otter) is the source of this 1790-nucleotide long non-coding RNA. RefSeq lists it as uncharacterized. The transcript is spliced from 3 exons. The record is from RefSeq and is a predicted model, not a curated record. NCBI's taxonomy places the organism in Eukaryota, Metazoa, Chordata, Mammalia, Carnivora, Mustelidae.